ACAGACAGCCAGGAUGUUGGCUUAGAAGCAGCCAUCAUUUAAAGAAAGCGUAAUAGCUCACUGGUCGAGUCGGCCUGCGCGGAAGAUGUAACGGGGCUAAACCAUGCACCGAAGCUGCGGCAGCGACGCUAGGCGUUGUUGGGUAGGGGAGCGUUCUGUAAGCCUGCGAAGGUGACCUGUGAGGGUUGCUGGAGGUAUCAGAAGUGCGAAUGCUGACAUAAGUAACGAUAAAGCGGGUGAAAAGCCCGCUCGCCGGAAGACCAAGGGUUCCUGUCCAACGUUAAUCGGGGCAGGGUGAGUCGACCCCUAAGGC
RNAcentral lists this ribosomal RNA (313 nucleotides) under Klebsiella quasipneumoniae. Its description in RNAcentral is "bacterial LSU rRNA". It matches the Rfam family "Bacterial large subunit ribosomal RNA", at positions 1085 to 1397 of the family's 2925-position model. The record is from RNAcentral. Lineage: Bacteria; Pseudomonadati; Pseudomonadota; Gammaproteobacteria; Enterobacterales; Enterobacteriaceae.